CCUACGGGGAGCAGCAGUGAGGAAUAUUGGUCAAUGGGCGGGAGCCUGAACCAGCCAAGUCGCGUGAGGGAAGACGGUCCUAUGGAUUGUAAACCUCUUUAGGCGGGGAGCAAUGCCGGGCACGCGUGCCCGGAGGGAGAGUACCCGCAGAAUAAGCAUCGGCUAACUCCGUGCCAACAGCCGCGGUAAUACGGAGGAUGCGAGCGUUAUCCGGAUUUAUUGGGUUUAAAGGGUGUGUAGGCGGAUUUUUAAGUCAGCGGUAAAAUGUCCGGGCUCAACCCGGGCCGGCCGUUGAAACUGGGGAGCUUGAGUGGGCGAGAAGUAUGCGGAAUGCGUGGUGUAGCGGUGAAAUGCAUAGAUAUCACGCAGAACUCCGAUUGCGAAGGCAGCAUACCGGCGCCCGACUGACGCUGAGGCACGAAAGCGUGGGGAUCGAACAGGAUUAGAUACCCCAGUAGUC
RNAcentral lists this ribosomal RNA (460 nucleotides) under uncultured bacterium. RNAcentral's name for it is "partial 16S ribosomal RNA". It matches the Rfam family "Bacterial small subunit ribosomal RNA", at positions 338 to 795 of the family's 1533-position model. The record is from RNAcentral.